GGUCAAGCAAUGGGGGAAGCUCCAUUACCAUGGUGAGGUCUCGGGGGCUGGUUUCUUCAUCCCGUCUGAGCUCUUCCACUUCAUGCUCUGGCUUUGGCCUUUCUGAAGAGCAAGGGGGACACAGGAGAGUCAAUGGGAUAUAGGGGAUCAAUGGGACACAGGAGAGUUCAAUGGGAUACGCAAGAGUCAAUGGGACACAGGAGAGCCAAUGGGAUACAGGAGAGUCAAUGGGACACAGGGGAGUCAAUGGGAGACAAGGGAGACAAUGGGACACAGGGGAGUCAAUGGGACACAGGGGAGUCAGUGGGACACAGGGGAGUCAGUGGGACACAGGAGAGUCAAUGGGAUACAGGGGAGUCAAUGGGACACAGGGGAGUCAAUGGGACACAGGGGAGUCAAUGGGAUACAGGGGAGUCAAUGGGACACAGGGGAG
This is a long non-coding RNA of Pezoporus occidentalis (night parrot), 433 nucleotides long. RefSeq lists it as uncharacterized. The transcript has 3 exons. The record is from RefSeq and is a predicted model, not a curated record. NCBI's taxonomy places the organism in Eukaryota, Metazoa, Chordata, Aves, Psittaciformes, Psittacidae.